GACGAACGCUGGCGGCGUGCCUAAUACAUGCAAGUCGAGCGAAUCAGAUGGGAGCUUGCUCCCGGAUGAUUAGCGGCGGACGGGUGAGUAACACGUGGGCAACCUGCCCGUAAGAUUGGGAUAACUCCGGGAAACCGGUGCUAAUACCGAAUAGGUUCUGACACCUCAUGGUGUCAGAGGGAAAGUUGGCUUUGGCUAACACUUACGGAUGGGCCCGCGGCGCAUUAGCUAGUUGGUGAGGUAACGGCUCACCAAGGCGACGAUCAGUAGCCGACCUGAGAGGGUGAUCGGCCACAUUGGAACUGAGACACGGUCCAAACUCCUACGGGAGGCAGCAGUGGGGAAUAUUGCACAAUGGGCGAAAGCCUGAUGCAGCAACGCCGCGUGAGCGAUGAAGGCCUUCGGGUCGUAAAGCUCUGUCCUCAAGGAAGAUAAUGACGGUACUUGAGGAGGAAGCCCCGGCUAACUACGUGCCAGCAGCCGCGGUAAUACGUAGGGGGCUAGCGUUAUCCGGAAUUACUGGGCGUAAAGGGUGCGUAGGUGGUUUCUUAAGUCAGAGGUGAAAGGCUACGGCUCAACCGUAGUAAGCCUUUGAAACUGGGAAACUUGAGUGCAGGAGAGGAGAGUGGAAUUCCUAGUGUAGCGGUGAAAUGCGUAGAUAUUAGGAGGAACACCAGCUGCGAAGGCGGCUCUCUGGACUGUAACUGACACUGAGGCACGAAAGCGUGGGGAGCAAACAGGAUUAGAUACCCUGGUAGUCC
RNAcentral lists this ribosomal RNA (761 nucleotides) under uncultured bacterium. Its description in RNAcentral is "bacterial SSU rRNA". It matches the Rfam family "Bacterial small subunit ribosomal RNA", at positions 28 to 796 of the family's 1533-position model. The record is from RNAcentral.